UACGUAGGGGGCAAGCGUUGUCCGGAAUCAUUGGGCGUAAAGAGCGUGUAGGCGGGAAGGAAAGUCAGAUGUGAAAUCCCUGGGCUCAACCCAGGAACUGCAUUUGAAACUCCCUUUCUUGAGUGUCGGAGAGGAAAGCGGAAUUCCUGGUGUAGAGGUGAAAUUCGUAGAUAUCAGGAGGAACACCGGUGGCGAAGGCGGCUUUCUGGACGACAACUGACGCUGAGACGCGAAAGCGUGGGGAGCAAACAGG
This 253-nucleotide ribosomal RNA is filed under the name uncultured bacterium. Its description in RNAcentral is "partial 16S ribosomal RNA". It matches the Rfam family "Bacterial small subunit ribosomal RNA", at positions 524 to 776 of the family's 1533-position model. The record is from RNAcentral.